Molecule: ribosomal RNA, 594 nt
Filed under: uncultured bacterium
Lineage: Bacteria
Description: bacterial SSU rRNA
Rfam family: Bacterial small subunit ribosomal RNA
Source: RNAcentral
CCUACGGGAGGCAGCAGUGGGGAAUAUUGGACAAUGGGCGAAAGCCUGAUCCAGCAAUGCCGCGUGAGUGAUGAAGGCCUUAGGGUUGUAAAGCUCUUUUACCAGGGAUGAUAAUGACAGUACCUGGAGAAUAAGCUCCGGCUAACUCCGUGCCAGCAGCCGCGGUAAUACGGAGGGAGCUAGCGUUGUUCGGAAUUACUGGGCGUAAAGCGUACGUAGGCGGUUAUUCAAGUCAGAGGUGAAAGCCCGGGGCUCAACCCCGGAACGGCCUUUGAAACUAGGUAGCUAGAGUCUUGGAGAGGUUAGUGGAAUUCCGAGUGUAGAGGUGAAAUUCGUAGAUAUUCGGAAGAACACCAGUGGCGAAGGCGACUAACUGGACAAGUACUGACGCUGAGGUACGAAAGCGUGGGGAGCAAACAGGAUUAGAUACCCUGGUAGUCCACGCCGUAAACGAUGAUAACUAGCUGUUCGGGCACUUGGUGCCUGAGUGGCGCAGCUAACGCAUUAAGUUAUCCGCCUGGGGAGUACGGUCGCAAGAUUAAAACUCAAAGAUAGUAGACGUGNGAGAGCGACGACGACGACGACGGAGGAGAG